GCGCCCGUAGCUCAGCUGGAUAGAGCGACGGACUUCGAAUCCGUAGGUCGCAGGUUCGACUCCUGUCGGACGCA
Molecule: non-coding RNA, 74 nt
Organism: Treponema sp. GWC1_61_84
Lineage: Bacteria; Pseudomonadati; Spirochaetota; Spirochaetia; Treponematales; Treponemataceae
Source: Rfam